This 492-nucleotide ribosomal RNA is filed under the name uncultured bacterium. Its description in RNAcentral is "partial 16S ribosomal RNA". It matches the Rfam family "Bacterial small subunit ribosomal RNA", at positions 28 to 507 of the family's 1533-position model. The record is from RNAcentral.
GGUGAACGCUGGCGGUGGGCCUAACACAUGCAAGUCGAACGGCAGCACAGUAAGAGCUUGCUCUUACGGGUGGCGAGUGGCGGACGGGUGAGGAAUACAUCGGAAUCUACUUUUUCGUGGGGGAUAACGUAGGGAAACUUCCGCUAAUACCGCAUACUACCUACGGGUGAAAGCAGGGGAUCUUCGCACCUUGCGCGAUUGAAUGAGCCGAUGUCGGAUUAGCUAGUUGGCGGGGUAAAGGCUCACCAAGGCGACGAUCCGUAGCUGGCCUGAGAGGAUGAUCAGCCACACUGGAACUGAGACACGGUCCAGACUCCUACGGGAGGCAGCAGUGGGGAAUAUUGGACAAUGGGCGCAAGCCUGAUCCAGCCAUACCGCGUGGGUGAUGAAGGCCUUCGGGUUGUAAAGCCCUUUUGUUGGGAAAGAAAAGCAGCAGGUUAAUACCCCGCUGUUCUGACGGUACCCAAAGAAUAAGCACCGGCUAACUUCGUG